UGCCACAGCCAUAUCACCCUGCAGCCCAAGACUGGUCACCCACUGAAGCUAAGCAGGGUUGAGCCUGGUCAGUACCUGGAUGGGAGACCUCCUGGGAAAACUAGGUUGCUGUUGGAA
This 117-nucleotide ribosomal RNA is filed under the name Sinocyclocheilus grahami. The record is from RNAcentral. Lineage: Eukaryota; Metazoa; Chordata; Actinopteri; Cypriniformes; Cyprinidae.